RNAcentral lists this ribosomal RNA (505 nucleotides) under uncultured bacterium. RNAcentral's name for it is "SSU rRNA". It matches the Rfam family "Bacterial small subunit ribosomal RNA", at positions 26 to 521 of the family's 1533-position model. The record is from RNAcentral.
AGGACGAACGCUGGCGGCGCGCUUAACACAUGCAAGUCGAGCGAGAACCAGUCUUCGGACUGGGGAAAGCGGCGAACGGGUGAGUAACACGUGGGUAAUCAACCCUUGACACCGGGAUAGCCCGAGGAAACUCGGAUUAAUACCGGAUGGCCCAACAGUCUUUCGGGGCGGUUGGAAAAGGUAGCUUCGGCCUCCGGUCAGGGACGAGCCCGCGGCGGAUUAGCUUGUUGGUGAGGUAACGGCUCACCAAGGCAACGAUCCGUAGCUGGUCUGAGAGGACGAUCAGCCACACUGGGACUGAGACACGGCCCAGACUCCUACGGGAGCAGCAGUGGGGAAUCUUGCACAAUGGGCGAAAGCCUGAUGCAGCGACGCCGCGUGAGGGAAGAAGGCUUUCGGGUUGUAAACCUCUUUCAGGUGGGACGAAGCUCCUCGGGUUAAUAGCCCAGAGGGUGACGGUACCGCCAGAAGAAGCCCCGGCUAACUACGUGCCAGCAGCCGCGGU